AAGAAAAGACUACUCUGUAGAUUUCCAGAAUAAUUCUAACUGAUCAAAUUAUUGAAAAAUGUGACUUUAAAGAGAUAUUGAUUAAAAAUUUUAAUUGACCCUGCCCUUAAUUUAUCUUCAUUUUAAGACACACAGCACAUAACGAUUAUUUUUUAAGGAAAAGUAGGUUAUCUGGAAUUCAACUUUUAAUCUCAUUAAAAUCUCAUGUGGCUAUACUAUUUCUUCAGUCAUAUAUCCAGGUAGACACUUAAUAAAUGCUUUUAAAAAUGGAAACAUAUUUUACAUUCUACUUAAAGAUAAACCACUAUCUUCAAUAAGUUUCUCUACAUUUCUGUUAAUCAUUCAUAUAAAGCAAGAAUUUCCACCAGUCUUCGCUAUUCAAAAGAGACAAAUUGCUCCCAUUAUUUACAAAUCUUUAUGUCAAAAAGUUCUGGUGUCCCAUAAAAGACGUCUUAUGUAUACUGUGUCAACGUGUAUUUCUUUACUCUAUGUUAUCAAUUUCUGGUCAGGAGAAAGGAUGGAUAUAAGGUGGUUAUACAGUGUGAUCUGUGAAAGAAGAGAGUAUAACUGAAUAGAAAUGAGAAGAAAUUCCAAAGUUAUCACUGAAAUUAUUAGAAACACUGGAUUGCCUAUCUUGCGUUUCUCAGAGCACCAACUCUGACUUAAGUUAUUAAGAGAAGUUUUAUACAAGGCAUAGUCUACAGAUAAUAGGAUCAUGAAAUUCUAAGUUAUCCAAGAAGUCAUCACCACUUGGAACUCCUUCAUUAUAUCAAAUUCUAUUUACAGAAGAUAGAGUACCUUCCUUUUAUAACUAAGGAAAUUGAGGCUCAGGGAUGUGAAAUGCCUUCUCAGGUACAAAAUUAAUACGAAGCUAAACCUAAGUCAGGUCUUCUGACACCACACUUCAGGUAACUGAAUUUGAAUUCGAUUAUCCUGCUGUUAGUGAGUAGAACAAGCAAAAUACAGAGCACAGGACAAGUACAAGUGAGUAUGGGAACAAAGAUGAAGAGAAAAUAAACAUAAGGAGUUGAGACAGGAGCCUAUCAGACAACGUAGCAGAGCAGAAUCAGAGAGAAGGAGAGAGACUGAAGAUGACAGACAAGCACACAGAAAAAAAUCAGAGCUACAAAGAGGCACUGAAAAGAAUAUAGCUAAUGCCUCACCAUUGGACCAGCAAAACAAGAGCAAUGCUAGAGGAAGGAGUGGCGAUGUUAGACUUCUUGAAAGACAGUAUAGCCUACCAUUUCUGACUUAUGCUAAGUGUUCUGACAACAAAAGGCAACCUUGAGAAGAACAGUAAUUUAUGGUUCUACACGUCUACCACAACUCUGGAGCCAUCAGCCUUUCCGAGUAUAACACGAACGUGGUCAGUCAAGGAAUCGGCUUCCCAUUCGCAUUUAACCAACCCCCUGUUAAUGUUUUUUCAAAACCAAGUGUAAUGUGACCCCUCGAAGUUCAAAGUCAUCAAAGGAUAGUAAAAGCAAAAGUCAUAAUAAUAUUCAUACCCAGGCGCCGCCUCACUUAUGAUCACUUUCAAUGCUGCUCAGCAGGUUUUCCACUAUCACUAAUACUGAAUGAAAACAAACACAUCAUUAAAUCAUAGAGUGCUAAACACCUACAGAGUCAGCCUUCUCUUAGAUUCAACCAUUUCUUUCUGCUCCCCAACCUAUUUUUCUUUGUUUUGCAAUUUUAAAGGGUAGUACCCAAACCACUAAUCACUCAAUCUCUUCAAAACAACAUUGCCUGGCCCAUCUCUUUGUGACAAUAAACUCUUGGUAAGUAAUAAAUAAAUAAAGUAAAUAAAUAAUCAACCCCCUAAGUGUCCCUUAAGAAAACAGUAAUAAUCCUCUAAAUUUCCCUUAUGCUGUAAUCAAAUGGCUUUUAAAAGAUUAAGGUAAAAAGAUUAAAAAGAGUUAGCAAUAUACUAAAGGAAAAAGGAACAAAUUAAAACCAAGGAGCUAAAAUUUUGCCAUAUGAGAUAUAAUAAAAAUAAGGGGAAAAUUUGGAAACGAAACUCCACAUAAACUAAGAACUUUUUAUCUGCCACACCGGUAAAUAUGGAAAGUUCCCCAACCCCCACAAAGGCUUUUGCUCAUUCCUUCACUGAGUAUAAGAGACACCUUAAGAGAAGUAGCAAAUCCAUGGAAGACUCUAAAGUCCAACAAUUAUUUUCCUUAAGUCAUGAUACUGAAUCACAUACUCUUCCUUAGAGAUGAUGUAAAGUGAUCAACAGAAUUACUGAUCACGAGCAGUUAAUUCUUCUCAAUCCUACAAAUUUCACAUUUUUAAUGCAUCCCCACCCUAAAAAAUAAAUCAACUUAGUGCAUACCAGAAUUAGAACAGACUCCACUCCAUCUUUCUUCAGAUUGAUUUAACAUGAACA
Long non-coding RNA from Equus caballus (horse), 2383 nucleotides. RefSeq lists it as uncharacterized. The record is from RefSeq and is a predicted model, not a curated record. Lineage: Eukaryota; Metazoa; Chordata; Mammalia; Perissodactyla; Equidae.